Long non-coding RNA from Chenopodium quinoa (quinoa), 1500 nucleotides. RefSeq lists it as uncharacterized. The record is from RefSeq and is a predicted model, not a curated record. Lineage: Eukaryota; Viridiplantae; Streptophyta; Magnoliopsida; Caryophyllales; Amaranthaceae. The transcript is spliced from 5 exons.
UUCUUGUGUUUUAUAUUUUAUUUUGAUUUUUGAAUCCAAUUUUUGCGAUUUUGAUUGCGAAAUUAGGGUUUUCCGAAUCAUUUGUUUGAGUAUUUGUGAUUCCAGUUGUAAUAUUAGGGAAUUUACAAUUUUACGAUGCCGCAUUUGCAAUUUUGUUGUUGAAUUUCGCUUCCUAUACAUCGAGUCUUCAUUUUCUAUAUCCAGUUCUUCAAUGAUUUUCAUUAAGCGCUCAACUACUUACUCGUAUUGCCUUAACUUUGAUCCAAAUCGUUGAUUUUUCUGUUUAUUUUUCGAAUAUGUGUAAAUUGCUGAAGUUACGAUUUUUUUUUGUUAUUAUUAUUUGAUUGAAAAUUUUAAUUUCAAUUGUUGUAAUUAGGGUUUUUAGUCGAAUUUGUAUAGUAGUAUAGUUUAUUUUAAUGUAACUAUUGUUUUUGUUUGAUUUUCAUGUUUUAUUGCUGUUAUUUUUUUGCUUUCUACUUAUUUGUCAUGUUCCGAAUCUUAGGAAUUGCAUUCGAGUAUAUAUCCUAAGCUUAAGGUUUUCAUACUACCUGGUUUGAAACUUUCCAUCAUGUGUAAGUUUAUUUUUUAUAUGGGAUGUAUGAUUUGUAAGUAUGUUUACUCUACUUUGUUUGGGAAAUCGUUACAUUCUUUGUUUCUGAGAUUGCUACAUCCUGUAAUUGACAUAUUAGACUGUCUUCUGUCAUGUACCUGAGAGUGCACUUAUGCUGAUGUUUGAGUAUCUGUAAUGGAUGUUGUGAUUUAUCCACUCCAUGGGUCGUUGCCCCCGGAGUUACAGAAAAACAGAGUGAAGAAAGUACGAGCUUCAAUUUCAAUGAGAUUCAAGGAUUUCGAACACAAUUUCAUUUGAUUUUUGUCAGAAUUCAGCAGCAACAAGAAUCAACAAGCUUCAUAGAUUAUACAGGUUGGGAUUAGGUCUAUCCAAAGUGAAAUGUCAAACAUUAAUAUCAGGGGGAGUGCGAGGUACCCUUUCUUGGAUGGCACCUGAGCUUCUGAGUGGCAGCAACAGUCUAGUCUCGCCUCUGAGAAGGCUGACGUGUUCUCUUUUGGUAUUGUUUUGUGGGAACUUCUCACUGGAGAAGAGCCAUAUGCUGACUUGCACUAUGGGGCUAUUAGUGGAGGAAUUGUGAGCAACACUUUGUGACCACCUGUUCCUGUGAAUUGUGACCCAGAGUGGAGAGAUGCUGGGCUGCAGACCCACUACAGAGGCCGAACUUCACAGAAAUCGCCAACGAGUUGCGCGUUAUGGCUGCCAAAAUUUCAGCUAAGGGGCAAACACCAGUUACAACUACAAGAACAAACACCUAGUUGGUUUUAAUUUUCUUGGCUCUCAUUCAGUUAAUGUCUAGUUGGAGUAUGUAUAUGGCCUAUGCUAAUUUGGCAUCAUAGUCUUAUGGAUAUCAUAUGGAUAGUUGCUCAUUUGUCAAAUGAGCAAACAAUUCUUUGUUCAUUUUAUCAAAUGAGUAAAUAAUUCUUUGUUCA